This 484-nucleotide ribosomal RNA is filed under the name uncultured bacterium. Its description in RNAcentral is "partial 16S ribosomal RNA". It matches the Rfam family "Bacterial small subunit ribosomal RNA", at positions 30 to 507 of the family's 1533-position model. The record is from RNAcentral.
AUUGAACGCUGGCGGCAGGCCUAACACAUGCAAGUCGAGCGGAUGAAGGGAGCUUGCUCCUGGAUUCAGCGGCGGACGGGUGAGUAAUGCCUAGGAAUCUGCCUGGUAGUGGGGGAUAACGUCCGGAAACGGGCGCUAAUACCGCAUACGUCCCGAGGGAGAAAGUGGGGGAUCUUCGGACCUCACGCUAUCAGAUGAGCCUAGGUCGGAUUAGCUAGUUGGUGGGGUAAAGGCCUACCAAGGCGACGAUCCGUAACUGGUCUGAGAGGAUGAUCAGUCACACUGGAACUGAGACACGGUCCAGACUCCUACGGGAGGCAGCAGUGGGGAAUAUUGGACAAUGGGCGAAAGCCUGAUCCAGCCAUGCCGCGUGUGUGAAGAAGGUCUUCGGAUUGUAAAGCACUUUAAGUUGGGAGGAAGGGCAGUAAGUUAAUACCUUGCUGUUUUGACGCUACCAACAGAAUAAGCACCGGCUAACUUCGUG